This 409-nucleotide ribosomal RNA is filed under the name uncultured prokaryote. RNAcentral's name for it is "bacterial SSU rRNA". It matches the Rfam family "Bacterial small subunit ribosomal RNA", at positions 355 to 776 of the family's 1533-position model. RNAcentral also lists the same sequence under 1 other name. The record is from RNAcentral.
UAGGGAAUUUUCGGCAAUGGAGGAAACUCUGACCGAGCAAUGCCGCGUGAACGAAGAAGUAUUUCGGUAUGUAAAGUUCUUUUAUCAGGGAAGAAAAUAAAAUUGACGGUACCUGAUGAAUAAGCUCCGGCUAACUACGUGCCAGCAGCCGCGGUAAUACGUAGGGAGCAAGCGUUAUCCAGAAUUAUUUGGCGUAAAGGGUGCGUAGAUGGCAUAAGAAGUCUUUUGUUAAAAUGCUAAGCUCAACUUAGUAGUGCAAAAGAAACUCUUAAGAUAGAGUACAGAAGAGGUAAGUGGAAUUCCAUGUGUAGCGGUAAAAUGCGUAAAUAUAUGGAGGCACACCAGUGGCGACGGCGGCUUACUGGUGUGAUACUGACAUUGAGGCACGAAAGCGUGGGGAGCAAACAGG